AUGCCCCUCUCUGAAGACGAGGUGAUCCUCGGCGACGAAGAAUUCAUCGUGCCUGAGGAUCCCGUCGAGCAGGAGCGCUUCAAGUGUCGGCUUAUAGCCACAGCAAAAAGCCUGAAGAAAAAGCAGCAACAGCUUCAAGCUGAUCAAGAUCUGCUAGCGGAUAGAUGGACCGAGGUCCUGGCAGCCGAGGAAUACAAACUCGAGCGCCCAACCAAAAGUUACCCAAAACGCAGGUUGCUAUCCCAACUCGAGGAGGAAGCAUUAAAGCCUACACUACCAGCGUAUGAUGCGGCUGACCGGCCACCUCGUGGCCGAGACAAAGCGGCGUAUCAGCCCGAAUUCCAGCCCACACCCCGUCGCCAGUUAAACAAAAACACCAAGGCCCGGGGCUACACGCAGGACCUGCGAGAAGUAUUGGAAAACAAAGGAGGACAUACAAGAUCGAUCUACGGAUCACGGGGGCGCGCCCCAACGCGUAACGACGACCGUCACGCAGGAUAUACUAAAAGCAAAUCCGGCCGGGCCGAAUACAGCAGACUAGACUCGUACGAACUGCGUCGUGAUAUAGCCCGGCACAGAGGCGCCGGACACCCCCUAUGCUUCACUGAUGAAGUAAUGGAUCAUGAAUUCCCAAAAGGGUUUAAACCCGUGAACAUUGAAUCAUAUGAUGGUACUACAGACCUCGCGGUAUGGAUAGAGGAUUUCUUCCUCCACAUUCACAUGGUCCGCGGGGAUGAUCUACACGCCAUCAAGUAUCUCCCACUAAAACUCAAAGGGCCGGCUCGGCAUUGGCUGAAUAGCUUGCCGGCAAACUCCAUUGGAAGUUGGGAGAACCUGGCAGACGCAUUCCUGGACAACUUCCAGGGCACUUAUGUGCGACCACCGGAUGCUGAUGAUUUAAGUCACAUAACCCAACAGCUCGGAGAGUCAGCCAGGAAAUUCUGGACUAGGUUCCUAACUAAAAAGAACGAAAUUGUCGACUGUCCGGAUGCCGAAGCCCUAGCGGCCUUUAAACAUAACAUCCGUGACGAGUGGCUUGCCCGACACCUCGGCCAAGAGAAGCCAAAAUCCAUGGCAGCCCUCAUGAUACGUCUCCAACGUAUCUAUAAUUUAUGA
Molecule: ribosomal RNA, 1116 nt
Filed under: Triticum aestivum (bread wheat)
Lineage: Eukaryota; Viridiplantae; Streptophyta; Magnoliopsida; Poales; Poaceae
Description: partial small subunit ribosomal RNA
Source: RNAcentral